UCAUAGAAAUGAUCUCCCUAUAAAAGUAAUCACAAAAUGUUCAAUCUUUUACACAUUAGUCUUGGCAAAGAUGAGCAGGUAGUUACAAACGCAAGUUGUUCGUUCGAGAUCAUGUAAAAUGCAAAGAGAAGAUGAACGCUCUAAGGCAUUUCGUACAAAGUGCCUCAAGGGUCACGUACUUUCUUUUACCCUGCAGAUACCUCAGCAAAUUUCGAGAUUCCAAGGAAGUGUAAAGGUGAUUCCAUAAAUGCCACAUCAGAA
This is a long non-coding RNA of Cyphomyrmex costatus, 261 nucleotides long. RefSeq lists it as uncharacterized. The record is from RefSeq and is a predicted model, not a curated record. NCBI's taxonomy places the organism in Eukaryota, Metazoa, Arthropoda, Insecta, Hymenoptera, Formicidae. The transcript is spliced from 3 exons.